RNAcentral lists this ribosomal RNA (379 nucleotides) under uncultured eukaryote. Its description in RNAcentral is "partial 18S ribosomal RNA". It matches the Rfam family "Eukaryotic small subunit ribosomal RNA", at positions 592 to 976 of the family's 1831-position model. The record is from RNAcentral.
CAAUAGCGUAUAUUAAAGCUGUUGCGGUUAAAAAGCUCGUAGUUGGAUUUCUGUCAAGGACAACUGGUCCGCCCUCCGGGUGAGCACAUAGUUUGGUCUUGACAUCUUUGGAAGCUGUUGCUGCACUUGGCUGUGUGGCGCAGUGUUCAGCACUUUCACUUUGAGGAAAUUGGAGUGUUUCAAGCAGGCACAUGCCUUUGGACACAGUAGCAUGGAAUAAUUAGAUUGGGCUUUUGCUCCAAUUUGUCGGUUUCUGGAGCUGAGGUGAGUAUUAAUGGGGAUUGUUGGGGGCAUCCGAAUUUAGCCGUCAGAGGUGAAAUUGUUGGAUCUGCUAAAGACGGACAACUGCGAAAGCGUUUGCCCAGGAUGUUUUCAUUGA